CCCACAUAAAAUGGGGAUGCCUCUUUAAGAAACGGAGGUUAGGGAAGCUAGGUGGUCUACCUAGCCAAUAGGAAGUUUAGCUUCCAGUGAGUUUAAACCAAUCAGAAUUCGGACUGCCGCUGCAGGACCCGCCCUUCCGCAGCAUUGAGUGUGUAAGCGAGAGAGAUCCGGAAACGAUUAAGCUGGGCAGCGUGAAAGUCUCUGUUUUAAAACAGUUAUACAACUCUAAACAAACGCUUUCCCAGAUCAUCCGACUUCUAAGCUGGACGCGUGAAGUGAAAAAAAAGAAAAGGAAAGACAAGUUCACUUUUUCUGCUGAACACCGUUAGAGCUGACUCGUUAGCUCUAACGGCCAACGGCUACUGGUUUAGCUCCAACGGCUACUAGGCUAACGUUUUAAGUUCAUCUUGUUCUCCGUUCAGUUGAAGUGCCUCACGGGUCCGGACUGAGAGCCACCAUAUUGUUGUCCCUAACGUGUCGCAUUGAGAUCGGUCAGGUUUUUUUGUUUAUGCUGGAUUGUUCCUGAGGUGGAUUCCUCCUGUGACUUUGAUGGCGAGCCUUCCCACCUGGACUUAGAAAGAACUGGAUUCCUGGAUUCCUUCUUUUCCGUUUGGAGUCCUGCUGCACCCCGCGGUGUGUCAGGCUGGUACCACUCACAUCUUCACACACAGUUGGUUAGGAGUGAGACCACUGACUGACAUUUUUCUUUUUAUUGUUUAAUCCUGGAAUUUCUGAUCUCACCUUUUGGACUGGUUUUUAUUUGGUACUUUGUAACAAACUGCUGUGUAGGAAAUUCUCCUCAUGUGAAUGGUGUUGAGCUGAACCUAAUUGGAACUGGAAUUGAUUGAUCUGUUGCCUAUUACGAUUUAGAAUUCAGAUUACCAGGGUGCACCCAAAAGAUUCAAAACUGAGAACCAGCACUUGGCCAAGUAUUUGUAUUAUUUUUUUGUAUUUUAUUGUGUGUAAUUUUAUUUUCAUAAUUGUGUGUCUUGUAUAACUGUUUGUUAAUUUCAUGGUUUAUGUCACUAAAGCCAGUUGUUUUUUUAAAAUUCAUUUAACUGCC
Long non-coding RNA from Xiphophorus couchianus (Monterrey platyfish), 1063 nucleotides. RefSeq lists it as uncharacterized. The record is from RefSeq and is a predicted model, not a curated record. The transcript is spliced from 3 exons. NCBI's taxonomy places the organism in Eukaryota, Metazoa, Chordata, Actinopteri, Cyprinodontiformes, Poeciliidae.